This 304-nucleotide ribosomal RNA is filed under the name Subeucalanus sp. EG-2003. RNAcentral's name for it is "partial 16S ribosomal RNA". The record is from RNAcentral. Lineage: Eukaryota; Metazoa; Arthropoda; Copepoda; Calanoida; Eucalanidae.
GCAUAAUAAAUAGCUCUUUAAUUGGGAGAUGGAAUGAACGGUAACACUAACUAGCUUGUGAUUUCUUUUCUGUGAAUUUUUAUUCUUGAUGAAAAUAUCAAGGUGUUAUUUUUAGACAAAAAGACCCUAUGAAGCUUUAUAAUUAUCAUUACUAUGGCUAAAUGGUUUAAAAUUAUUUUUUUGGGGUAAAAAAUAAUUUUAUUAUUAUAAAGAUUAAAGUUUGACUAUCCACAUAUGAAUCAAUAAUAAGCUCCUCUAGGGAUAACAGCAUAAUCUUAGCUGAGAGAUCUUAUCGGAGCUAAGG